AGGCACGUCAGAUAUUGGAAAAUGAAUUCAAAAACCUGCUGCUUCAAGGAACUGAUCGACGCCAUGAGGAGGACAACACCAAGAACUUCAGUCGGGCGCCCUCGUGGCGCAAGCGGUUUCGGGCAAAGGAGAUGCGAGACAUGACCUCGGACACAUCGGAAACGCUGCCGGCCAACUUCCGAGUGACUGCGGCCGCCAUUGCAUCGCAGAGCGUGCAGCUACGGAAGGUGCAGCCAGAUAGUAACCCCUCAGGGACUCCGCGAGCUGACACACCAUCAAUACGGACGUACUCGUGCUAGCAUCACUCAAUCUCGAGGGGAUUGUGAUGAGUCGCUGUCGUGCAGUUAAUUGUGGCUGGAAGAAUCGAAGAACCAGUUUUGAGAACUAUCACAGAACUGACCCGACUGUUAAAAGGGGCAAGAGAACCCCCCCCACCCCGCCACCACCGUCUCCCCUCGCCCCUAUCCCCAGUGUUGCUCCCGAGAAGAGUGGGCGAGAGGGUGGAGAGGUUGUUUCAUUCCUUCAGUGACACUGUUUUCAUUUUCUGUCACUCUGUGGGUCCCACAUCUGAGGUCAAUCACCCACCACCCCUCCCCCCAAACUCUACCGCCCCCCCCGCCCCCAAGACUGUUAGCGGGACUGACCCACAGUCCUGGCCCGAGGCCUGUGGGUGACUCAGGGGUAUACGGCAGGAGAAGCUAUGACACGACUUUAAGGUAUUAUCCUGUUUUGGGCCCUGGAUGUAAAUACACCGAUCAGCCCGCCCUGCCCUCCCACAGCCACAUUUCCUUCCCACCCCUCCUAUAAAGUGCUGGGAUUGUUUUUUUUCUCUUGUGCGUAAGAGUUCCUAAAACUGUUGCUGUACCGGGGAAAGUUGCCUUUGAGAGGUUUCUUCAUUUAUUUUAACAUCCAGUCGCUCGUCCCGGGCUUGCACUUUGGCUUCUGUGUCUCCUACCAGCACCCCCUCACCCCCACUGCCCCACUCAGCUUCAGCCUGUUCAUGCUGCACAGCACAGUGUCCUCUCUCCCAACCCUACACACACACACACACACACCGAUGCACGCACACGCCCAGACACACAGACACACACGCACAUAGACAUACACGUACACAGACAUACA
Long non-coding RNA from Rhincodon typus (whale shark), 1122 nucleotides. RefSeq lists it as uncharacterized. Lineage: Eukaryota; Metazoa; Chordata; Chondrichthyes; Orectolobiformes; Rhincodontidae. The record is from RefSeq and is a predicted model, not a curated record. The transcript is spliced from 4 exons.